GCUCAGUUGCGGGGAAGUGAGUACGUGAGGAGCGGCACAGCGGCGGGGGGAGGGGCGGGAGCGCGGGGCGCCCCCUGCGGCCGAGCCUGGCCCGGCCUCGGCCCGGCACGUGCCCGCGGGCCCACGCCGCGUGCAGACACAAGCGACACGCGAAACACACAAAACGAAACGGUUCAACACAAAAACUCACAGCAAAACGCAAAAUACAACAAAGCGGAAACAAAACCAACACGACGCACAAUCUGAAACAAAAAAAAAAUGACAACAAAACACGCAGAAACCCAUUUGAAACGAAACGCACCACACAAAACCGUUUGAAGCGAGACAAAUCGGGCACCGCUAGCAACUCUCUCCGUUCAACCUGAAGCACCGCCAGCAGAUUGGUGUCGGAGGAAGUGACGGUAACGAGCCUGUCCAUGCGGACCGCGGGGGAGGUGUCCCGGUUUACGUUCAGCCGCGACAGAGCGACACCUCCCCGCGCUCCUCGGGACGGGACGGGACGCGGCGUGCUGCACGGGAGAGGCUACGCGAUGAUACCUUCAGAUGGUGGCAAGAGAAUACAACAGCACUCCAUUAAUUACUUGAACUUGACCAGGAGAGAAAGCAAACCAGUGGCAAGUCAAGGUAAACAGCUAAACAACUGGCAGCCCACGGUGCAAUGCUGAAGCCUACUGGGAGAACAACUACAACUUAAGAACGGGCAUCCCGACUACUCACCUUGCAGACAUUGUGCUGGCACACUGUUGUGACUGGUCGAAAUACCACCUCCUGGCAGCAAAUACAUAGAAAAGCUUCUUCCACUUUAUUCAGGAAUUUCUGAAAUGGAAGAAAAUUGUCAUUCAAUUGCUACUGCCUUCCAAAUAUGCAGCAUGAUUCAAGUGACUGAAGCUUUCCAUAAGACUUCCUAGUUUACAGAAUUCAGGAAAAAAACCCAACAACCACCUUGCAGCAUGAUGUUGUGAUCACUGUUACUAAUAAAAAUCACGCUGCAGA
Long non-coding RNA from Alligator mississippiensis (American alligator), 993 nucleotides. RefSeq lists it as uncharacterized. Lineage: Eukaryota; Metazoa; Chordata; Crocodylia; Alligatoridae. The transcript is spliced from 2 exons. The record is from RefSeq and is a predicted model, not a curated record.